Molecule: ribosomal RNA, 492 nt
Filed under: uncultured bacterium
Lineage: Bacteria
Description: partial 16S ribosomal RNA
Rfam family: Bacterial small subunit ribosomal RNA
Source: RNAcentral
AUUGAACGCUGGCGGCAUGCUUUACACAUGCAAGUCGAACGGUAACAGGCCUUCGGGUGCUGACGAGUGGCGCACGGGUGAGUAAUACAUCGGAACGUACCCAGAGGUGGGGGAUAACGCAGCGAAAGCUGUGCUAAUACCGCAUGUGAUCUGAGGAUGAAAGCGGGGGACCGAGCAGCAAUGUUUGGCCUCGCGCCUUUGGAGCGGCCGAUAUCGGAUUAGCUAGUUGGUGGGGUAAAGGCCUACCAAGGCGACGAUCCGUAGCUGGUCUGAGAGGACGACCAGCCACACUGGGACUGAGACACGGCCCAGACUCCUACGGGAGGCAGCAGUGGGGAAUUUUGGACAAUGGGCGCAAACCUGAUCCAGCAAUGCCGCGUGCGGGAAGAAGGCCUUCGGGUUGUAAACCGCUUUUGGCAGGAACGAAACGGUGUCCGCUAAUACCGGGCGCUAAUGACGGUACCUGCAGAAUAAGCACCGGCUAACUACGUG